Schizosaccharomyces pombe (fission yeast) is the source of this 1423-nucleotide non-coding RNA. Lineage: Eukaryota; Fungi; Ascomycota; Schizosaccharomycetes; Schizosaccharomycetales; Schizosaccharomycetaceae. The record is from the annotation of a GenBank genome assembly.
UUUGAAGUAGAGGCAGGAGGCGUAUCGGUAGUCCUUGAAAUUUUGGGUAGUCUCAUUUUUUUAAAAGCUCUACUUUGAAUGGAAAGUUUGUUUAGAGAAGGAAGUUCUUGAAAACUAUCUUCCUGACUAGUAUUGGGUUCAAUUGAAGAAUGCUUGGAUGGAGAGGUCGGGCUAUCUAAGUGCACAUCAGAUGUGAGAUUGAAAGUUCUUUCUUGAUUUUCUACGGAGGUUUUGGAACGGUUAUUGAUGAGGUCGAUUGUAUUGGAGCUGUCUUGGUUAGGAAAUAAAUUAGGCGUAGAAGGGGCAUGUGAUAAUCGAUUAGAAGUAGGACUAGCGAUGGAUGGCAUGCAUGGCUUUAGUAUAGAGGAUGAGGAUGUUAGUGCAUCGUUGAAAGAUUUUGUUUUUGUUAGCGGACUCUGGGUAAAUGGGAAAUGAUCGUCAUCAUUCGUGUCCAGUAGUAUAUCGUGAAGGGAGUGGGAUUUUUGAAGGACUGUGGAGAGCGGCGGGGAGGACUGGAAAUCUUUUAAGGGUGAAGAAGUCAAAGAAGCAGCUUUUUUAGAUAAAGGGGAAGCCACUUGUUCAUUGUCGUCGGGAAUAACGAUGGGAGAGGAGGUUUUCGAUGACAAUUGUGUAGUCCUAGGAAUGGUGGGAGUAUGGAAUAAAUGAAAUUCUUGGUGUUUUGGUUGCGAGGAAAGGGAAUUAGGGGGAGAAGAGUUUAAAUUAAUGAUUUCGACGCGUGAAGAAGGAUUUAAAUUCGUGUUUGUUGACUGGUUUGAAGAAGUUAAAGAGAGCAAAAGAUUAUCGGUAACCGACUUUUUAUUAGUGAUAUUAAGGGCAUCACGGGGACUAGGGAGAACAUCUUCGGAGCCGGAAACUAAAGGAGUACUGACCCCAAAUGAACGAUUAGCGAGAUGUGGAAGAAAAGUGUGGAAAGGAAGGAAAUGCUGGCAACAAUAUUUGUCAACUUACCUGAAACUUUUUAGCAAACUAUCGCAUUGAGUAGAUCUUUGAGGAGUAUCAAGAACAGUUAUAACAUUGUGUUCUGACAAAGCAAUAUUGUCCUAAAAAGAGGGUUAAAAAAAAAGCGAACAGAAAGAAAGGGAAAUACGCGACAAACCUUGGAAGGAGAAGCUUGUGAGCUUGAAAUGUCAACAUCAGCUUCAGAAUCGAUCACAAUAGCGGAAUCUGUAGACUGCAGAGUCAUUCAAUGCAUGUGUAGUGUUUGUUUUCCGAACAAUAGAGGGUUUGGUGGUUAGGACAGGUAGGGCAAAGUGUACACAAGGAGCCGGCAGGGAACGAGAGUUGGUGACAGAAAUAGAGCGAAAAGAAAUGAGAAAAAAAAAAAAAAGUUUGAAGUAAAAAAUUUAGAUAGGAAUGGUAUUAAAGAGUUUGAAUAAUUAAAAAGAUUGGAGGUUUGCGUGGA